GAUGAACGCUGGCGGCGUGCCUAAUACAUGCAAGUCGAGCGAACAGACGAGGAGCUUGCUCCUUUGACGUUAGCGGCGGACGGGUGAGUAACACGUGGGUAACCUACCUAUAAGACUGGGAUAACUUCGGGAAACCGGAGCUAAUACCGGAUAAUAUUUCGAACCGCAUGGUUCGAUAGUGAAAGAUGGCUUUGCUAUCACUUAUAGAUGGACCUGCGCCGUAUUAGCUAGUUGGUAAGGUAACGGCUUACCAAGGCAACGAUACGUGGCCGACCUGAGAGGGUGAUCGGCCACACUGGAACUGAGACACGGUCCAGACUCCUACGGGAGGCAGCAGUAGGGAAUCUUCCGCGAUGGGCGAAAGCCUGACGGAGCAACGCCGCGUGAGUGAUGAAGGUCUUCGGAUCGUAAAACUCUGUUAUUAGGGAAGAACAAACGUGUAAGUAACUGUGCACGUCUUGACGGUACCUAAUCAGAAAGCCACGGCUAACUACGUG
Molecule: ribosomal RNA, 497 nt
Filed under: uncultured bacterium
Lineage: Bacteria
Description: partial 16S ribosomal RNA
Rfam family: Bacterial small subunit ribosomal RNA
Source: RNAcentral